RNAcentral lists this ribosomal RNA (248 nucleotides) under uncultured Anaerofustis sp. Its description in RNAcentral is "partial 16S ribosomal RNA". It matches the Rfam family "Bacterial small subunit ribosomal RNA", at positions 524 to 771 of the family's 1533-position model. Lineage: Bacteria; Bacillati; Bacillota; Clostridia; Eubacteriales; Eubacteriaceae. The record is from RNAcentral.
UACGUAGGGGGCAAGCGUUGUCCGGAUUCACUGGGCGUAAAGAGCACGUAGGCGGUUAUUUAAGUCAGGUGUGAAAGUUUUCGGCUCAACCGGAAAAGUGCACUUGAAACUGGAUGACUUGAGAAUCGGAGAGGUAAGCGGAAUUCCUAGUGUAGCGGUGAAAUGCGUAGAGAUUAGGAAGAACACCGGUGGCGAAGGCGGCUUACUGGACGAUUUCUGACGCUGAGGUGCGAAAGCGUGGGGAGCAA